RNAcentral lists this long non-coding RNA (2501 nucleotides) under Leptinotarsa decemlineata (Colorado potato beetle). RNAcentral describes it as "uncharacterized LOC111503271". The record is from RNAcentral. Lineage: Eukaryota; Metazoa; Arthropoda; Insecta; Coleoptera; Chrysomelidae.
UAUAAACUCAAAUUUGCUCUUUCAUGUUGAAUUAAAUGAAAACAACAAAAAUGUAUCAAUUAAAGGAUGUGUCUGUUUAAUUGGGAUACUUGCCAUUUGUGCCAAAGUAGGAAAACAAAAACACUACUUUUCAAUGAUGUUUUACAUAAAUAACCAUAAAAACAUAUUCAAUAUUUUAUGCUAACUGCAUUUUUUUAACCAAAAGUGACGGGUUCCAACCAAAAAUUAUUUAUAUCGACAAGUGGUAAAUUUGAAUGGCUGAUACAUGAUGAAAAUGCUUAUUGAAACUUUCCAAUACAAUUUACUGUGAUUUUCACCAUGAAUUUAAUUUACAAAAAAUUCCGAGAUAUAUUGAGCCUCUUGUAGAAUUAUGUUACCAACUUCAUGUAAUAUACAAGAAUCCGAAAAUAUAACAAAUAUAAUUCCAAACACAAAAACAAUGAAACCACAAGUAGUACAUGGACAUGAAAAAAAUUUGAACCUCAAUAUUCAUAAAGCGGAAGUUUCAAGUAACACACUGAUGAACAUUGAAGUAAUUUUGCAGAACAUCCUAUUUAAAAUGAUAAUAAAGUUAAGUGAUAAUGUUGAGAUGUUACUUGUUAUUAUAUGAAUGUGUAUUAUUAUGAACUAUAAUUUAAAUCAGCACUUGCACCUGAUUGAAAGUCUUUUUGUGUGUCAAUAAUAGCUACACCACUUAUCCGCAAUCAUAGAAAAAAAAAGGAUUGUCACUUUGUUAUUUUGCUCUAACACGACUGUCAGAGAAAUCAAUUAGAUUAUUUUUCAAAAGUAUAUGAAAAAAAAAACACUAACAAUGUUCACUUGUAUUGUAGGAAUUUGGUUCGUCACGUUUAGAUAUAGCAAGAGAAGAAAAAAGUAAAAGAAUUUUAAACUUUCUUAGAAGCACUGAAAAUGGUCUCUGCUUUGUAUUUUUUUCUGAACAUACAAUUUCCCAAAGGAUUUAUAAUAACAUUUGAGGUGGAGAUUCAAUCAGAUUCAUGCUCAAAAUAUGAAAAGCUAAAUCCAGUGAAGAAAAAAGUGUUCAAUUCUAUCACCAGAUUUUUUAAAUUUCCGAAAUGAAAAUCUUAGAAAAUAGCAAGUGUUCAGAAAUUAAUAUAAGAAAAUUUUCUUGUUUUCUAUGAAAUAAAACGUAUGUUGAUGCCACUGUUUUCUAUGUCUAAAGUGUAUAUUUUCAAUUUUUAUACAGAAUACAUUUUAUUUUUAGAUUUAUUGGAAAUAAUAAUAUGCCUGGACAGUUCAACUUUCAUUUGAUAAGUUCUGGUUGUCAAUUGUCUUGAUAUAUAAAUCAAAAAUAAAUUUAUAUGAAGACAUUCAAUAUUCCUAAUUUUUGUAUGAUGAUGAAAAUUGAAAACGUGAAAAUCCAUUGUGUAAUGAGAGUGGAAUCUGUGAAAAUUCAUUGGGAAAUGACAAUCAAAUAGAUCCUCCAAUCACCCGAAGAAAAGAAACUGCUGCCAAUGCUUUCUCAUCGCUGUCUCAGAAAGUGUGGAGUUCGAUUUUUGAGGCUUUUUAUUUGAGUAAACUAUAAAUCGUAGAAUUGUGAUAUCUAUGGAGACUCUAUUGUUCCUACUAGGGCUAUCGAGUUAGUCAUCCAGAUUUCAUCACCUUACAAAUCACUUGGACAGCUUCUUCUUUUCAGAAUUCGUAGAAUCCAGGAAGUUAUUCAUGUAAAACUUUUUCGUUAUAGCUUCUCUUACACGUGGAUCUGUUAAAAACGACGAAAGUUAUAGCAGAAAUUACACUAUGUCUAUAAAAACCUGAAACUGAUUGUAAUUUUCUACAAGAAGACCUAAAACAAAUAGCUCAUUGGUGUCAGGCGAAAGGCAUAAACCUUAAUAAAGACAAAUGUAUUGCCAUCUUCUUUUCCCGUUCUAUUUCUCCCAUUAUUUUUGAUUUUUAUAUAAACGGUUUGUCCUUGAAUCAAGUUCGGGUUGAGAAAGAUUUCGGCAUUCUUUUGGAUACAAAACUGUCUUUCCAGAACCAUAUAUUCAGAGUGGUACAAUCAUGUUACAGACUCCUUGGUUUCAUUCUUAGAAUUGACAAAGACUUCUCACCUACUACUCUGAACAUCCUAUACUAUUGUUUAAUUCAUUCUGAAUUUGAUUAUGCUUCUAUCAUCUGGUCUACAUCGUAUUGCAUAUAUAAACAAUCUCUUAAAUCAGUUCAGAAAAAGUUCUUAAGUACCAUUGCCUUCAAAUUGGGUCUUAAAUAGGGAAUUAUACUUUUUUUGAUAUCGGAGCUAAUAUUCAAAUUCCUUCAAUAGAAAAUUGACUUGUUCAAAAUGACACAUCAUUAUGGUGAUAUCGACUGUCCAAAGCAUUUGAGUAAUCUUAGUUUUGAGAUUAAACAAAGUGAUACUAGGGAUGACAAAAGUAUUUUUUCUGAAAAUGUUCACCAUAUAAAUUAAACAGUCCACUGCCAAGACUUUCAGACUGGCAAACAAUUCUUAUUUUAACUUCUUUGGUGUCUCUCUAUAAAUACAUUUA